Engraulis encrasicolus (European anchovy) is the source of this 1920-nucleotide long non-coding RNA. RefSeq lists it as uncharacterized. The transcript has 6 exons. Lineage: Eukaryota; Metazoa; Chordata; Actinopteri; Clupeiformes; Engraulidae. The record is from RefSeq and is a predicted model, not a curated record.
GAGGAAACGGUAACUACUCUUUUAAGGGCAAGGAGCAAAUGAAUAAGCACUUUGUCAUAACUGCAGCGGUUUGCUAUCCUGUGGUGGAUUUGGGAAUAUAUUUGCUACAUUUCAUUGGAAAGUAGUAUGUUCGUCCAGCCUUCGUCCAGGUUCUGUCAGUUAGCUAAUAACCAAGACACUACGGUAAGUCAUAAUGUUAGCCCCUCUGGGAUUCAUUUGGUUGCUAUUUCGCAUAGCUUAUAACGGCUGGUUGGCUGUCAGUGGUUGGGCAGAUUCUUUUAGGUAGAGGGCUAAGUGUGUCUACUCAACGAUAAAUUGAGGUUCAGUACACAGUGAGGCGAUAUACUUUCUAUACGGGCUGUGAUACUACUAGCCUAAUGCAGGACGCAACUGACACAAAUCUGAGAAAUUAGCUAACUAUAUCUAGCCGCUACCUGGCUCCACUCGACCUAGAAUUCAGUUCAUAACGACAGCAUUUUCGUUUGGGGUCCGCAAGCUGGCAUCUGGAGACUGUCUUCGGUUUCCACAAGUGUCAUGUUAGUUCUACAUACUGUAGGGGAGUCGACGGGCUUUCUUCUUUUUCUGUGUCAACUAGAACUAGUUUUAUGAGAGCAAGUGCUUGUGUUGUGUGACUUCUCCUGACUCCUGCGAUGUUCUUCCGAGCUCAGCUCACUGCGACUUGCACCUUUCACAAGUCCGAACUCUGAUAAAGGCAGAGGGAGGGAUAGCUCGCGCAUGAAAUAUUACCGGUAUGUUAGGUGUGGUAAGUCGCAUCGUGUGUUCGGGCAGCUUGCCUGUGCAAGAAAAUGUUGUCGCGACAAUUGUUUAUUGUUUGUGUGUCAACUGGCGUUUCUUAUCUCGUAUGUGCUUUGCUUGCUUGGUUAGAGUCGUAGCUCUACCACAGAUUCUGUAAGAGACUUAUAAGGGCUGUGGCUCUACUACGUAGCUGUUUGAUAAAUGCGGAUGAAGGCUACGCGUGGAAAACGUGUUUACAUUCACCAGUCGUUGUGUUCCAAAAUUACGGAGGGAAUAGUUAUCCAAUUUCUUUCAUUCACGAGCAGGGAUGUGUUGCUUUGUUGACGCUACAGGGAAGUUUCCUGGUUUAAAGAAAGUUGUGGCUAUAGGCAACAGCUACUUCAACAAGCUUUGCAUGAAAUCGUGCGUGUGUAACUUAGUUCUAGUGUGAGUGUGUGAUAUUGUACUCUGCAGUAUUUACGAAGAGACUGGUUGGUUUAUAGUUUUGUUUAUGUAAAUGAAAAAUGUAAAGUUGUGUGUAGUAGUGAGACAAAAGCCUUUCAUACAUUUAUUUAAGGUUGUCUGUUGUCUGUUUGAAGGUGUGUCUGCAAAGCUCUGAAACGUUUUGUCAUUUUUGUCUCUUCUGCUCUGGAUAAGGUGGACUUCUCUCCUCUGACCUGUUACCAAGACAGCUGGGUGUGUAGGAAACUGGAACUAAGUCACUGAAGAAGUAAACCGAUGAAAACCGAUUUGGAUUGUCUGAGAGAUCUGUAGGACACAAGUAAGAGGAGAAGAAUGCUGCUCAGCUGGGUCGGCGUCGGCCACACUACUUAUUCAAGAAGCCCUUGGAUAUCAUCGGCAUGUAUGAAGCACAGUCAUUCCGGUAGUCCGUUCCUCGAUGGAAGUGAUGACCUGGCACCAAAACCGCUUAAAGUGUAUGGAGCUGUGUCUGCAUCGAGGAAAGAACGCGGCACUGAAAUGACAAGAGGACUACUGCUCUACUGGGUCUGUGACACUACUUAUCCGAGGAGUCCUCAAACAUCAGGAUGUAGGAAGACACAAGUAAAAGGAGAAGAAUGCUGUUCAGCUGGGUCGGCGGCCACACUACUUAUUCAAGAAGCUCUUGGAUAUCAUCGGCAUGUAUGAAGUCCACUGAUGCCAAGCUGCUAAGGACCCCCACCCCCC